This 118-nucleotide ribosomal RNA is filed under the name Lepisosteus oculatus (spotted gar). Lineage: Eukaryota; Metazoa; Chordata; Actinopteri; Semionotiformes; Lepisosteidae. The record is from RNAcentral.
GCCAGCAGCCAUAUCACCCACCAAUUCACAGCUGGCGGCCCACUGGAGCUCAGCAGGUGUGAGCCUGGCCAGUACCUGGAUGGGAGACCUCCUGGGAAAGCUAAGGCUGCUGCUGGAA